AAUCAAAUAGACAACAUAGAUUGAGAUAAAGGUGGCUGCUCGCCUACCCUUAUGCGAUAUGGUCGAAAAGCUCAUGAUCCACCAUUCGCUAGAAUCAAAUAGACAACAUAAAUUGAGAUGAAGGUAGCUGCUCGCCUACCCUUAUGCGAGAUGGUCGAAAACCUCAUGAUCCAUCAUUCGCAUGGAAUCUAAUAGACAAUAUAAAUAAAGAUGAAGGUGGCUGCUCGCCUACCCUUAUGCGAAAUGAUUGAAACCUCAUGAUCGACCAUUCGCUCAGAAUCAAAUAUGGCGAACAAAUAAUGAUAAAGGCGGCUCUGAUGUUGAGUAGAUUAUCAUAAUUGGAGAUAGGUCAGGUACCUUGGGUACCCUGGAGUAAGAUGAUCUCUGCAUACCCUCUUGCAUCAUAAUAAAUAAUACUUUUACUAGUAGUAUGACUUUUCUUUAUUGGAUUGGUGGCCCAAAUCGAGACUGAAACCGAGUCUUCAACCGGGGUACCCCGUUUUUCAUCUUUGGGUAUUCGAGGAUCCAAAGGUGCCUCCAAUUCACAUUUGGGCUUAAUUCGUUCCCCGUGGGGUACUCCCGCAUAACUCUAGAGUAACUAGUUAUGGGGUACCCUACCACCGAGGCCUCGGUGGUGGCUCUUGCU
Molecule: long non-coding RNA, 646 nt
Filed under: Citrus sinensis (sweet orange)
Lineage: Eukaryota; Viridiplantae; Streptophyta; Magnoliopsida; Sapindales; Rutaceae
Description: long non-coding RNA (CSIN_LNC001494)
Source: RNAcentral